GUCUUGACAAAAUUGACAUCCACAGAUUCGGAAUGACCCAAAGAAUGCAUAGACACCAAGAUCAUCAUUUUCUGACGAAUUGUUCAGAAGUUAUAAGCAAAAAAGUGAAUUUUUGGUAUCUCAACACCCAUAGGUGGCGCUGUUCCCAACUUUGGCAUGGACCCUCAGAUCAUGGUGUAGAUGAAGUGUACCAAGUUUGGUUUCGAUUGAUCAAAGUUUGGCCGAGAUACAGCAUCUGAACCGAUUUUAGGUCGACUUCGUUAGGUUCACAAUUGAAUAACUUUUGAACAAAGAUGAAUAUCAAAAAUCUGUUCAGUCAUUUCUGUGUGGCUCAGUCCAAAGAUCAUGUGAGCCAAAUUUCAGAAGAAUUGGACCAAUUUUGAAGGAGGAGUAGCGUUUAGACUGAAUACUGUACUUUUCAAAAUGGCCGCUACUGUAAUGGGCGGAGUCUUAAUGUAAUGUAUUGAGUAUAAUCUUCAUGAAGAGAGUGAUCAGGUGUACUAAGUUAAAUUUUCAUAGAAUUAGGGGUUCAAAAGUUAUUAACGUUUGAAUGUUGAAAUUUUGGACUGCUGGUGGCGCUAUAGAGUUGUGCCUAGAGACCCCAAAGUUGGUCAGAUCACUAAUAAUGGCCAUCUCUACAAGUGUGCCAAAUUUCAUCAUUUUCCCAUGUUCCCUUCAUAGGGCUGCCAUAGACCCCC
Long non-coding RNA from Cyprinus carpio carpio, 698 nucleotides. The record is from Ensembl. Lineage: Eukaryota; Metazoa; Chordata; Actinopteri; Cypriniformes; Cyprinidae.